UGGGGAAUAUUGCGCAAUGGGCGGAAGCCUGACGCAGCGACGCCGCGUGAGGGAUGAAGGCCUUCGGGUUGUAAACCUCUUUCAGCAGGGACGAAGCGAGAGUGACGGUACCUGCAGAAGAAGCACCGGCCAACUACGUGCCAGCAGCCGCGGUAAUACGUAGGGUGCAAGCGUUGUCCGGAAUUAUUGGGCGUAAAGAGCUCGUAGGCGGUCUGUCGCGUCGGCUGUGAAAACUCGGGGCUCAACCCCGAGCCUGCAGUCGAUACGGGCAGACUAGAGUGCUGUAGGGGAGACUGGAAUUCCUGGUGUAGCGGUGAAAUGCGCAGAUAUCAGGAGGAACACCGGUGGCGAAGGCGGGUCUCUGGGCAGUAACUGACGCUGAGGA
This 385-nucleotide ribosomal RNA is filed under the name uncultured bacterium. RNAcentral describes it as "bacterial SSU rRNA". It matches the Rfam family "Bacterial small subunit ribosomal RNA", at positions 355 to 752 of the family's 1533-position model. The record is from RNAcentral.